AAAAGAAUAGUCUCCAUUUAUACAACUCAGAUGAAUCCAAGAUCACGACUAGAAACCCAGGCAAAAACCAAAGAAAGCAGCUAUCCUCUCAUCGCUGCUCACUGACCACCGCCAGAAAGUAGAACACACAAGAUCAAAAAUUUAUAUUGUCGCUGGAGCAAAUUUAUCUGUUAGAGGAUUAAUCGAUCCGAAUAGAAUUUAAUUUUAAUAUAAUAAUUUAGGAUAUCUCUAAUUAAUAAAUAAAUAAGAAUUCAUGAAGCACUAACACCAUCAAAGCUCGGCCGGAGAGAUCAUAUCACAAAAACAAGAUUGAUCACUGAUCAGCCACAUGGGUCCCUCCACAAGCAGAGCAAGCUAGCCAGUAGGAGUGGGAGAGCUCUUAGAUUCGCACUCGCACCUCUCGGCAGGCCUAAAUGGAAUUGUCUUCAACCUAGCAAGAUCCCAUCUUCUAGCAGCCAUAUCCUUCUCACCAAAACCUUCAGAUCUUGACACCCAUUGCAUAUUUCAGCAAGUUUCAACAUGUAGCUCUCUCACCAACGGCACAAUCUGCAGUAAAGACAAACAACACAGUCUCAAAAGGGACAAAUUCAAGAUUUUCGCGGUCUGAAAUCAGGAGAGAGACAACACAUAGCGAGUGGGGAAAAAAAAAGAAAGGAACAGCUAGGAGAACGGCAGAGAAGAGCGACUCGCUCUUAAAGGACCCACGAAAAAAGGGAAAAAAAAAUUUCUCUGAGAAAGGAAAUACAUAAAAAAUUAAACUUACAUAUUUGAAAAGAAAAAAAAAACUAUAUAUAUAUAUAUAUAUAUAUAUAUAUAUAUAUAUUAUAAUAUGUGAAAGGAACACAAUUUACAUAGAUUCUGUAUUUGCAAGCGGCUCUUUCUGUAUGACUGACCAGUAAACAUCUCACAAAUCAUACAAAAUGUAUAAAGAAAAUCUUAAAUAACAGACAAUGUUGUGCAUGCACAUGCACGCAUCAAGUUGAUGAAUAUGACUGUCAAUUGUCAACCAAUAUUUAUAUAUAUAUAUGCUGACAAAGGAAUCGCCGUAAGAUAAUUAAUCAAUCAGCUUUCCAAUAAUAUACAUUCCAAAAUCAUAAAUUUGAUUUAC
Molecule: long non-coding RNA, 1108 nt
Filed under: Manihot esculenta (cassava)
Lineage: Eukaryota; Viridiplantae; Streptophyta; Magnoliopsida; Malpighiales; Euphorbiaceae
Description: long non-coding RNA (MESC_LNC008297)
Source: RNAcentral